RNAcentral lists this ribosomal RNA (253 nucleotides) under uncultured bacterium. RNAcentral describes it as "partial 16S ribosomal RNA". It matches the Rfam family "Bacterial small subunit ribosomal RNA", at positions 524 to 776 of the family's 1533-position model. The record is from RNAcentral.
UACGGGGGGGGCAAGCGUUGUUCGGAAUUACUGGGCGUAAAGGGCGCGUAGGCGGUCUACUAAGUUGGAUGUGAAAACUCUGGGCUUAACCCAGAGCCUGCAUUCAAAACUGAUAGGCUGGAGUUCUGGAGGGGAUAGCGGAAUUCCUGGUGUAGCGGUGAAAUGCGUAGAUAUCAGGAGGAACACCGGUGGCGAAGGCGGCUAUCUGGACAGAAACUGACGCUGAGGCGCGAAAGCUAGGGGAGCAAACGGG